This 444-nucleotide ribosomal RNA is filed under the name Salmacis sphaeroides variegata. RNAcentral describes it as "partial large subunit ribosomal RNA". It matches the Rfam family "Bacterial large subunit ribosomal RNA", at positions 2011 to 2611 of the family's 2925-position model. The record is from RNAcentral. Lineage: Eukaryota; Metazoa; Echinodermata; Echinoidea; Temnopleuroida; Temnopleuridae.
CUAAACUGUCUCUUUUUUUACCCCCAAAAUUUACUCUCACGUGAAGAGGCGUGAAUAAAAUCGUUAGACGAGAAGACCCUGUCGAGCUUAAAGCAAAAAGCAAGGCUAAUUUCAGGAGUUUUAAACUACUAACUUACAAAUUUACAGCAAUAAAACUUUUAAGUUCUUGCAAAAGUUUUGGUUGGGGCAACCGCGGAAAAAGAAAAUCUUCCACUAAAAAGUUAAUUAAAACAAGGAAAACUAUCCUAUUAUCAAAAAUGAAUGAGCGAUCCACUUAGGUGAUCAAAGGAACAAGUUACCGCAGGGAUAACAGCGUUAUCUUUUUUGAGAGUUCACAUUGACAAAAAGGUUUGCGACCUCGAUGUUGGAUCGGGACAUCCUAAGGGUGCAGAAGCUCUUAAGGGUUGGUCUGUUCGACCAUUAAAGUCCUACGUGAUCUGAGUU